GUUCCCAACUUCCCGCUGCCAGCGUCACUUUUUUUAAGCCGGCCAGCAGCGAGUCUCCACAUCUCAUUUUUCACUUCAUUUUCUGUCGUGCCUUAACUUCUCCAAAAUGAGCUUCAGAAAACUCACCACACAGCAGAUACCUUCUUCCCACUUCUCCUUGACCCGCUCCACACCCCAGCGGGCUGCCAGCAUGUAUGCCAGUUCUGGUGGACACAGCACCCGCAUUUCCUCUGCCUCCGCAUCUUCUCUCCGGUCUGGUGCCCCAAUGACCUCUUCUUCCUCUGCCUUCAAGCUGAGCAGUGGAAUGGGUGGUGGUAUGGGUUCAGGUUUUGGUAAUGCCGGUGUGUCCAUGUCGACUGGUGGUGGUGCCGGUGCUGGGAUCAUGGGCAAUGAGAGGGGAGCCAUGCAGAACCUAAACGACCGCCUGGCUAACUACCUGGAGACGGUGAGAAACCUGGAACAGUCCAACAAGGAGCUGGAGAUGAAGAUCAUGGAGGCUCUGGAGAAGGGAGGGCCCGACGUGAGAGACUACAGCAAGUAUCAACCCAUCGUAGAUGACCUACGCAAACAGAUCUUUGAUAAGAUUACGGAAAACGCUCGUUUUGUGCUCCAGAUCGACAAUGCCCGUCUUGCUGCUGAUGACUUCAAAGUAAAGUUCGACAAUGAGAUGGCAAUCCGCCAGUCUGUGGAGGCCGACAUCGCUGGGCUGAGGAAACUCAUAGAUGACACCAACAUGACCAGAAUGAACAUCGAGAACGAGAUUGAAGCUGUGAGGGAGGAGCUCGCCUUCCUAAAGAAGAACCAUGACAAUGAAGUAAUGGAGCUGAGGAAUCAGAUUUCUCAGUCAGGCGUGCAAGUGGACGUUGAUGCUCCCAAAGGCCAUGACUUGGCCCAGAUCAUGGAGGACGUGAGGGGCAAUUAUGAGAAGAUUGUCAUGAAGAACGUAGAAGAACUUAAACAAUGGCAUGAAAAUAAGAUUGCGGAUGUGCAGGUGGAGGUAUCACAGAACACAGAAGCUCUCCAAGGAGCCCAAAUGGAGAGGGGUGACUUAUCCAGACAGAUACAGACCCUGGAAAUUGAACUUGCAUCCCAACAGAGCUUAAAAGCUUCCUUAGAGGACACAUUACGCAACACAGAACAACGAAACAACAUGGAAAUGGAGAAGUACAACAGCAUUAUUAUCCGUCUGGAAGAGGAGCUGACCAACUUGCGUGCAAACAUCCAGCAUCAGACCCAAGAGUAUGAGGCGCUGCUCAACAUGAAGAUGAAACUGGAGGCCGAGAUUGGCACUUACAAGAAUCUGCUGGAUGGUGAAGCGUUCAAGUAAGAGUUAGGUGGAGGAGAAAAAAGAGAUCCAGGCAAGGUGUUGAUGGUGGUGGAGGCUUCAGGAUGCACUGGAUGAGCUGGCAAGCUAAUUUGGAACAAAGAAUCUGGGACCAUCCCAACAACCCACAACUAUCCAUUAUGGAAAAAGAAAAAUACAUGCUGGUCCAAUCAACUAAAGCCAAUUUUGAACCAAGACCACAUUCUGUGUAAACCGUAAAGGAUUUCAACAAUUCUGAAUAAAGGCAUUCGACCACAGUAAAGCAGGCAGAGCUAUUUAAAAAGCAACCAUUGCCUGAACUGACAGCAAAAUAAAAAUAAAUAAAACCACUUGUUGACCCACA
Molecule: RNA transcript, 1667 nt
Organism: Sander lucioperca (pikeperch)
Lineage: Eukaryota; Metazoa; Chordata; Actinopteri; Perciformes; Percidae
Gene name: keratin, type I cytoskeletal 18-like
Exons: 7
Source: RefSeq, a predicted model, not a curated record